This 1564-nucleotide unclassified non-coding RNA is filed under the name Hevea brasiliensis (rubber tree). The record is from RNAcentral. Lineage: Eukaryota; Viridiplantae; Streptophyta; Magnoliopsida; Malpighiales; Euphorbiaceae.
AAAAAACAUUUCACGUCGAUCGGCGAUGGCGUUUCCGAUUCCACCAUGGCUGAAUCAGUUCAGAGCUUCAGCAAAUUCCUUCUUAUCUCAAUACGAGCCCAUAAUUCUACUAAUAACUCCUCUCUUCUCUCUUCUAAUCGCUCGAAUUCUUCAAUCCAUCUUCCUCGUUAUUCACGAUCGAGGACUCAAAGCCACCAUUAUUAGCUUCGUUAUGACCGCCAUCAAGUUGGUGCCUGGUGUUAAAAAGCACAUUGACUCUGAGAAGCAGAAGAUAGUGGAUAAGUUGCAAGGUUCUAGUAAUAGAGAUGGAUGGAGAACUGAGUUGCCGAAGUCAGGUUUAGGAGAUAACGUCCUAGUGCAAAUGAGAGAUGAGAAACAAAAAGAUGUGACAUGGCAGGGCAAAUGUUCGGGCACCGUCUAUAUUGGCGGAAAUGAGAAUGAGGGACAUUUUUCAUUGAUAAACGAGGCAUGUUCCAUGUUUGCACAUACCAAUCCACUACAUCUGAGUGUGUUCCCAAGCGUUGUUAGAUUCGAAGCAGAAGUGGUUGCGAUGACAGCAGCAAUUCUUGGUAGUAAAGAAAAGGCUUCUGGAGGAAAAAUUUGUGGAAAUAUGACAUCAGGGGGGACUGAAAGUAUAUUAUUAGCAGUUAAAUCAUCACGUGACUAUAUGAAUGCCAAGAAGGGCAUCACAAAACCAGAAAUGAUAAUACCAGUUUCCGCACACUCAGCAUACGACAAGGCUGCACAAUAUUUCAAGAUCAAAUUGUGGCGUGUCCCUGUUGAUAAAGAAUAUCGAGCAGAUGUUAAAGCUAUUAACCGAUAUAUUAACAAAAAUACUAUCAUGAUUGUUGGAUCGGCACCUGGUUUCCCCCAUGGCAUAAUCGAUCCAAUUGAGGAGCUUGGUGAUUUGGCUUCUAGCUACCAAAUUUGUUUCCAUGUUGACCUUUGUCUUGGAGGCUUUGUCUUACCUUUCGCUCGUAAGUUGGGAUACCCUGUACCUCCAUUUGAUUUCACUGUUCAAGGAGUAACCUCAAUCUCAGUGGAUGUACACAAGUAUGGGCUGGCCCCAAAAGGAACCAGUGUAGUUCUGUACCGAAAUCGUGAAAUACGGAAGGUAUAAAGUGCUACUUUCUGCCCCUUCUCUGUAAUCACUGUUUAGCAUUCAAUUGAAGCAUCUCUAAGCAGAAAUUAUGGAUUUGUUUAAAUAUCCAGUUUGUGAGAGUUCAUCGGAGAUUAGACUUGUUCCUUUGGAUAUAUUCUUCUUUAUGAGGAAAUUUUGUUCUCUUGAUUAUGAACUUUGUAAGUUCAUCCUUAAUAUAAUUUGUAGCCUUUAUGUGACUGGAAAUAUUGUCUUGAAUUUUAAUGGUUUUUCUUUCUGAGAUGCCCUCUUUACCUUUCCCUUAUCAAUGUCGAAGUUGCAGAGAGCAGUAUAGUAUACCUUGAAACAUUUGGUAUGGUGGUUCUACUUCAUGUGCAAUGAGUUGAUACAUUAUGCUACACCUUCAUUUUAUAUGUAUUUAUUUUAAAAGUAAUCUGAGAUCUUUUACAUUUUCUUACUCCUGAA